RNAcentral lists this transfer RNA (41 nucleotides) under Scherotheca minor. Its description in RNAcentral is "partial tRNA-Ser". The record is from RNAcentral. Lineage: Eukaryota; Metazoa; Annelida; Clitellata; Crassiclitellata; Lumbricidae.
GGCCUGAUGUUUUGGAAACAUUGGACCUUGAAUGUCCACUU